Molecule: ribosomal RNA, 468 nt
Filed under: uncultured bacterium
Lineage: Bacteria
Description: partial 16S ribosomal RNA
Rfam family: Bacterial small subunit ribosomal RNA
Source: RNAcentral
GACGAACGCUGGCGGCGUGCUUAACACAUGCAAGUCGAACGGAAAGGCCCUGCUUUUGUGGGGUGCUCGAGUGGCGAACGGGUGAGUAACACGUGAGUAACCUGCCCUUGACUUUGGGAUAACUUCAAGAAACCGGGGCUAAUACCGGAUAGGAGCUCCUGCUGCAUGGUGGGGGUUGGAAAGUUUCGGCGGUUGGGGAUGGACUCGCGGCUUAUCAGCUUGUUGGUGGGGUAGUGGCUUACCAAGGCUUUGACGGGUAGCCGGCCUGAGAGGGUGACCGGCCACAUUGGGACUGAGAUACGGCCCAGACUCCUACGGGAGGCAGCAGUGGGGAAUAUUGCACAAUGGGCGGAAGCCUGAUGCAGCAACGCCGCGUGCGGGAUGACGGCCUUCGGGUUGUAAACCGCUUUCGCCUGUGACGAAGCGUGAGUGACGGUAAUGGGUAAAGAAGCACCGGCUAACUACGUG